This 1409-nucleotide ribosomal RNA is filed under the name metagenome. RNAcentral's name for it is "bacterial LSU rRNA". It matches the Rfam family "Bacterial large subunit ribosomal RNA", at positions 1536 to 2925 of the family's 2925-position model. The record is from RNAcentral.
GUAAAUCCGCGUUCUAUUCAGCCUGAGAUGUGAUGCCGAGCCGAUUGUGGUGAAGUGGAUGAUCCUAUGCUGCCGAGAAAAGCCUCUAGUGAGUGUUGUGGCGGCCCGUACCCUAAACCGACUCAGGUGGUCAGGUAGAGAAUACCAAGGCGAUCGGGUGAACUGUGGUUAAGGAACUCGGCAAAUUGCCCCCGUAACUUCGGGAGAAGGGGGACCUCUGCUGGUGAUGGGCUUUACGUUCUGAGCUGGUGGGGGUCGCAGUGGCCAGGGGGAAGCGACUGUUUACUAAAAACACAGGUCCGUGCGAAGUCGUAAGACGAUGUAUACGGACUGACGCCUGCCCGGUGCCGGAACGUUAAGGGGACCGCUUAGCCAACGCGAGUUGGCGAAGGUGAGAACUUAAGCGCCGGUAAACGGCGGUGGUAACUAUAACCAUCCUAAGGUAGCGAAAUUCCUUGUCGGGUAAGUUCCGACCUGCACGAAUGGCGUAACGACUUCCCCGCUGUCUCAACCACAGACCCGGCGAAAUUGCACUACGAGUAAAGAUGCUCGUUUCGCGCAGCAGGACGGAAAGACCCCGGGACCUUCACUACAGCUUGACAUUGGCGUUUGGAACGUCUUGUGUAGGAUAGGUGGGAGACUGGGAAGCUGUCACGCUAGUGAUGGUGGAGUCAUUGGUGAAAUACCACUCUGGUCGUUUUGAACGUCUAACUCUGGUCCGUGAUCCGGAUCGGGGACAGUGUCUGGUGGGUAGUUUAACUGGGGCGGUUGCCUCCUAAAGAGUAACGGAGGCGCCCAAAGGUUCCCUCAGCCUGGUUGGCAAUCAGGUGUUGAGUGUAAGUGCACAAGGGAGCUUGACUGUGAGACUGACAGGUCGAGCAGGAGCGAAAGCUGGGACUAGUGAUCCGGCAUCGGCGUGUGGAAGCGGUGUCGCUCAACGGCUAAAAGGUACCCCGGGGAUAACAGGCUGAUCUUCCCCAAGAGUCCAUAUCGACGGGAUGGUUUGGCACCUCGAUGUCGGCUCGUCGCAUCCUGGGGCUGGAGUAGGUCCCAAGGGUUGGGCUGUUCGCCCAUUAAAGCGGUACGCGAGCUGGGUUUAGAACGUCGCGAGACAGUUCGGUCCCUAUCCGCUGCGCGCGCAGGAGACUUGAAGGGGGCUGUCCCUAGUACGAGAGGACCGGGACGGACGAACCUCUGGUGUGCCAGUUGUACCGCCAGGUGCACGGCUGGUUGGCUACGUUCGGAAGGGAUAACCGCUGAAAGCAUCUAAGCGGGAAGCUCGCCUUGAGAUGAGGUCUCCCACCCCGUGAGGGGGUAAGGCUCCCGGUAGAUCACCGGGUUGAUAGGCCGGAGGUGGAAGCACGGUAACGUGUGGAGCUGACCGGUACUAAUAGGCCGAGGACUUGACC